Molecule: non-coding RNA, 880 nt
Organism: Camellia sinensis
Lineage: Eukaryota; Viridiplantae; Streptophyta; Magnoliopsida; Ericales; Theaceae
Source: RefSeq, a predicted model, not a curated record
UCCACAACCCCGAGUUCAAGCUCAAACACACAGGCUCUCUCUCUCUAUCUCUCUCUCUUUUCCAAAACCCUCGAUUUGAAGCUCAAACAUAGACUCUCUCUCUCACUCGCUCGAUUGCAGAUUUUGUGUUGUAUGUUCUUCAUUAAUGUUGAUCGAAGCUCAAACAACCCUCGAUUUGAAGCUCAAACACACAGAACUCAACCGCAGCAGUUUGCUCUAAUUGUUCUUCAUCAAUCGCAAUGAUCUCUGUUCUUCAUCAAUCUCGAGGCUAAUCGAGUGAGGACGCGGCACCAGAUGGUCCAGACUCCGAUCUCUUCGUUUACUACUGCAAGCACUACGGAUCUCAUGUCCUCAUUACUGGUCAUCCAACGUGAGCCACGGGAACACAUCAAAGAUGAGGACAUAAAGAAAAACUACUGCAUCCUUUUGUGGGGAGAUAUGGCAAGUUCCUCCAAUGUUUUCUGCCAUCAAAUUGUGCUCAUUUAAUAGCUUUGAGAAGAGAUUCAAUUGGUUCACAUAUCAAAGAAAGAAAAGAAGAAGUAGAUAUGACAAACUCAAUGAAAGAAGGCCGUUGGAGUCUACUGAAUUCGAGUUUUCAGGUUUGUGCUUUCCUUGGCUUUGUUGAGAGCUUUAAUCAGUUCGUUUAAGCAAGUCUCUUUUGGACCAGUCUUUGGUAUCAAGUUCUCUGCAACAUCACAAGGACUCAUAUCGGUUUCCUGCAAUAAACUGUCUCUAUUUUGUAGAUAAUUACAGUUGUAGUUUGUCAUUCAAGAAAGGCUUUUUAAUAUCUUUAUUAUGUGAUAUACUUUGGAAGAUCAAUGUAAUAUAUUUUGUGUAGUAAAAAUCUCAUGAAAUGUGCAAUUAGUUAAAUUAUUUUGUU